GACGAACGCUGGCGGCGUGCUUAACACAUGCCAGUCGAACGGAAAGGCCCCAGCUUGCUGGGGUACUCGAGUGGCGAACGGGUGAGUAACACGUGGGUGAUCUGCCCUGCACUCUGGGAUAAGCCUGGGAAACUGGGUCUAAUACCGGAUAGGACCGUGCUUUAGUGUGUGCGGUGGAAAGUUUUUCGGUGCAGGAUGAGCCCGCGGCCUAUCAGCUUGUUGGUGGGGUAAUGGCCUACCAAGGCGGCGACGGGUAGCCGGCCUGAGAGGGUGUACGGCCACAUUGGGACUGAGACACGGCCCAGACUCCUACGGGAGGCAGCAGUGGGGAAUAUUGCACAAUGGGCGCAAGCCUGAUGCAGCGACGCCGCGUGGGGGAUGACGGCCUUCGGGUUGUAAACCCCUUUCGGCAGGGACGAAGCUUUUGUGACGGUACCUGCAGAAGAAGCACCGGCUAACUACGUG
This 465-nucleotide ribosomal RNA is filed under the name uncultured bacterium. RNAcentral describes it as "partial 16S ribosomal RNA". It matches the Rfam family "Bacterial small subunit ribosomal RNA", at positions 28 to 507 of the family's 1533-position model. The record is from RNAcentral.